RNAcentral lists this long non-coding RNA (1312 nucleotides) under Gossypium barbadense (sea-island cotton). Its description in RNAcentral is "long non-coding RNA (GBAR_LNC002227)". Lineage: Eukaryota; Viridiplantae; Streptophyta; Magnoliopsida; Malvales; Malvaceae. The record is from RNAcentral.
GAAACGAACAGCAGCUGUUCCCCCCCACCAUUUUCUUCAUUUUUUAGAUCUGCUAGGGUUUCAAAAGGAACCCAUUUCGCCGCCGUCGUCGGACUGCCACCUUAUACGAUGGCCGGCGUUCCCAAAUCACCCUUUUUUCGGCUGAUUUGGCUCUCCCUACCUCGUUUUAAAACCCAAAACUCUUAAAAAAUAAAAUAACAGACAAUAAACCCUCGGUUUCCUCCUCCAAUCUUAAGAAAGGUAAUGUUUUUUUUCUUCUCUUUUCUUUUUAUUUUCUUUUUUUCUAUCAAAAACAAGCAUGAAAGCAAAAUAAUCAAGAAAAAGGAACAACCUUUUUACUAUUUUUUGUAUUUCGAUUUCUAUGGGACCUUUUUUGUAUUGAUUUUUUGAAUAUUCAAGAAUCCCCCCAUUUACAACCGGUUCCCCUUUUUGAAUUUGGAAAAACCGCUUUUUUUAAUUCAGAAAAAAAAACCCCCUUAAUACAUUCGCUUCUUCUCGGCUUUAUAGCCUGUUACAAUAUUAGGAAAAUAUUAUUUAUUUUUGUCAUUUUUGUUUGUCUGCUUCUGUCUUGGUGUCUGCUUCAUUUUGCAGGUGUCAGAUGACCCUCAGAAGCGUACGGAGUGGCGAUGACAGAGGCGUGGUGGCCGAGCACACGUGGGGAGGCCGAUGGUUCGGCGGCCAUAUGCUUGGGGCUAGGGUUUUUUACUUGUUUAGCAGAAAAUAUUUUGUGGGCUAAGUUUUUAUGUUUAUUGGGCUUAUUGGGCUUGCAACUGGGUAAUGGGUUUUGUAAUUGUUUUAUUUGGUUUUUGGGCCCCGGGCAAAAUUUGGGCCUUACACAGUCGCUUCCACCAUAUCUUCAAACACAGAUCGAUAUAUUGGAAAUACAAAAUAGAGAGUUGCAGUCAACGUUCAGUGGGUAACUAAAACACUGCGUAGAAUUGAUUUUGAGAUAUGGGUACUGCAAAAGCAGUGAGAAUCAGUGGAUGCGAGUGAUGGAGUGUACUGUGAAAAUGAAAAUGAAAAAAAAAAAGAGAAUCAAAGGGACUUCGGUGAAAAUCAAAGGUAUUUUGAUUUGGGGAUUUGGGGAAACCGAUUUGAGGAUAUCGAAUUGGGGGAAGUUUUAUGGGAUUUGGAGAUUCAAGGUUUGGGGAACUAGACGUUCAGGGGUAAUCUGAAUUGGAGAAAGUAAAGGAAAUUUGGGGCUCCAAAAAACGAAGUCGUUUUCAAUCUAUUAAGAGAUGUUUGUGGCGUUUUUUAUAAAAACGACGGUAAUUUUGCAGCGUUUUUAAGAAACGCCACUAAGUAUGCAGCC